AGAGUUUGAUCCUGGCUCAGAACGAACGCUGGCGGCAUGCCUAACACAUGCAAGUCGAACGAAGUCUUCGGACUUAGUGGCGCACGGGUGCGUAACGCGUGGGAAUCUGCCCUUAGGUACGGAAUAACUCAGGGAAACUUGUGCUAAUACCGUAUGAUGUCUUCGGACCAAAGAUUUAUCGCCUAGGGAUGAGCCCGCGUUGGAUUAGCUAGUUGGUGGGGUAAAGGCCUACCAAGGCGACGAUCCAUAGCUGGUCUGAGAGGAUGAUCAGCCACACUGGGACUGAGACACGGCCCAGACUCCUACGGGAGGCAGCAGUGGGGAAUAUUGGACAAUGGGCGAAAGCCUGAUCCAGCAAUGCCGCGUGAGUGAUGAAGGCCUUAGGGUUGUAAAGCUCUUUUACCCGGGAAGAUAAUGACUGUACCGGGAGAAUAAGCCCCGGCUAACUCCGUGCCAGCAGCCGCGGUAAU
This 470-nucleotide ribosomal RNA is filed under the name uncultured bacterium. RNAcentral describes it as "bacterial SSU rRNA". It matches the Rfam family "Bacterial small subunit ribosomal RNA", at positions 8 to 524 of the family's 1533-position model. The record is from RNAcentral.